GGGAGGAGAGAGGUGAGGCUACAGAGGAAAGUUGAAGCUUUGAGAAGUCUAGCCUUGAAUGCCAACCAAGGCAGGUCCUGCUCUGGGCUCGGGAGUCACUCUGGGCCUCUAUUUUCAGAAGUGCCUGCUGUUCUCCAAGCAGUUCAUGCACCAGGGCAACGUGGCUGAGACCACCCGAUUUGAGAAGCUUGCUCAGGACCGCAAGAAACAGCUGGAGAUCCUGCAGCUGGCCCAGGCUCAGGGCCUCGACCCUCCCACCCACCACUUUGAGUUGAAGACAUUCCAGACUGUGAGGAUCUUCUCAGAACUCAACAGCACAGAAAUGCAUCUGAUCAUUGUCCGGGGAAUGAACCUCCCAGCCCCUCCAGGGGUGACUCCCGAUGACCUGGAUGCUUUUGUGCGGUUUGAGUUUCACUACCCUAACUCGGACCAGGCUCAAAAAAGCAAAACAGCUGUGGUGAAGAACACAAACUCUCCAGAAUUUGAUCAACUCUUCAAACUAAACAUCAACCGAAACCACCGGGGCUUCAAG
RNAcentral lists this small RNA (532 nucleotides) under Pan troglodytes (chimpanzee). RNAcentral's name for it is "retained intron". Lineage: Eukaryota; Metazoa; Chordata; Mammalia; Primates; Hominidae. The record is from RNAcentral.